This is a long non-coding RNA of Tympanuchus pallidicinctus (lesser prairie-chicken), 837 nucleotides long. RefSeq lists it as uncharacterized. The transcript has 2 exons. The record is from RefSeq and is a predicted model, not a curated record. Lineage: Eukaryota; Metazoa; Chordata; Aves; Galliformes; Phasianidae.
GGAGCAUCCAAAGGUACAAAAGGAGUAAUUUCAGAGAAUUUCAAUUGGCAUCACAGAAUCACUGAUUCUGUGAAUACUUCACUGUUCCAUUUCCAUUUUCUGUUUAGAAGGAAAGAGAAAACUGGGAGUCAUGAGACUUCUAUUUCUGCUUGGCUCUGCAGUGUAUGCUCCCUAGCUAUCCCACCUUCAACAUUAGAGUAAGGCCUUCAGUUUUGGACAAUCUCUCUCCUGUUUAUUUGAUUUAUUAGCUACAAUUCCAAUUGUAUUGUGCUAUAAUAUCUAGUAAAUUAAUUUUCUCCCUUAGCUCGUUGCCACUGUUUUGUUUUUAGACCCAUCAUAGGGCGUGGGUCCAUGGGUCCAGGUCGAACCAGGCCAGAGCUGUGACCAUGCUGUACCUGAAUAACCGUGUAACAGGCACUAAGUGCACUGAGUAGGACUUCUGCUCCUCCGUACGUUUUUGUUGAGUUUGUAAUAUAGAGUUGGUUGUAUUGAAACGGAGUUUAAUUGUAACUUUCCUAAAAUCAGAAUGCUGUAAUGUCAUAAUUCCAAAGAUGCUCACUGUAUGUUUCCCAUUUACAAGUAUUUAUAGCUGACCUACUGUUACCAAAUCCUUGCUAAUUUUAUAUUUACUUUUAUUCUUUAAAAGAUACAACUGUUAAGUGAGAAGAUGAAAAAUUCAUUGUGCUCUGCAGAGAAGAAAGGCAAUUUUGUUUGUAUGAAUGGCAGAACAGCCCCAUGGCAGGAUUCGUAGGGAGGCUAAUGCCCUGUUGAAGAAGAGAAAUCCAAACCGUCACAGAAAAUUCAAAUAAAAUGUUAUUCAUACUUUUUCUUCUCUGA